GAUGAACGCUGGCGGCGUGCCUAAUACAUGCAAGUAGAACGCUGAAGGAAGGAGCUUGCUCUUUCCGGAUGAGUUGCGAACGGGUGAGUAACGCGUAGGUAACCUGCCUGGUAGCGGGGGAUAACUAUUGGAAACGAUAGCUAAUACCGCAUAACAGUAGAUGUUGCAUGAUAUCUACUUAAAAGGUGCAAUUGCACCACUACCAGAUGGACCUGCGUUGUAUUAGCUAGUUGGUGAGGUAACGGCUCACCAAGGCGACGAUACAUAGCCGACCUGAGAGGGUGAUCGGCCACACUGGGACUGAGACACGGCCCAGACUCCUACGGGAGGCAGCAGUAGGGAAUCUUCGGCAAUGGACGGAAGUCUGACCGAGCAACGCCGCGUGAGUGAAGAAGGUUUUCGGAUCGUAAAGCUCUGUUGUAAGAGAAGAACGGGUGUGAGAGUGGAAAGUUCACACUGUGACGGUAUCUUACCAGAAAGAGACGGCUAACUACGUG
Molecule: ribosomal RNA, 497 nt
Filed under: uncultured bacterium
Lineage: Bacteria
Description: partial 16S ribosomal RNA
Rfam family: Bacterial small subunit ribosomal RNA
Source: RNAcentral